GCGGAAGUAGUUCAGUGGUAGAACAUCACCUUGCCAAGGUGGGGGUCGCGGGUUCGAACCCCGUCUUCCGCUCCC
Molecule: transfer RNA, 75 nt
Filed under: Listeria monocytogenes
Lineage: Bacteria; Bacillati; Bacillota; Bacilli; Caryophanales; Listeriaceae
Description: tRNA-Gly
Rfam family: tRNA
About the family: Transfer RNA (tRNA) molecules are approximately 80 nucleotides in length. Their secondary structure includes four short double-helical elements and three loops (D, anti-codon, and T loops). Further hydrogen bonds mediate the characteristic L-shaped molecular structure. tRNAs have two regions of fundamental functional importance: the anti-codon, which is responsible for specific mRNA codon recognition, and the 3' end, to which the tRNAs corresponding amino acid is attached (by aminoacyl-tRNA synthetases). tRNAs cope with the degeneracy of the genetic code in two manners: having more than one tRNA (with a specific anti-codon) for a particular amino acid; and 'wobble' base-pairing, i.e. permitting non-standard base-pairing at the 3rd anti-codon position.
Source: RNAcentral